RNAcentral lists this transfer RNA (106 nucleotides) under Candidatus Saccharimonadota bacterium. RNAcentral describes it as "tRNA-OTHER". It matches the Rfam family "tRNA". Rfam says of the family: Transfer RNA (tRNA) molecules are approximately 80 nucleotides in length. Their secondary structure includes four short double-helical elements and three loops (D, anti-codon, and T loops). Lineage: Bacteria; Candidatus Saccharimonadota. The record is from RNAcentral.
GCUUCGCUGGUGUAAUGGCAGCACGGUGGGUUCUGACAAUAAUUCGCAAUUCAUUGCAAAUGAUAAGAAUGUCCCGCAAAUGGAGGUUCGAUUCCUUCGUGAAGCU